UGGGGAAUUUUGGACAAUGGGCGAAAGCCUGAUCCAGCAAUGCCGCGUGUGUGAAGAAGGCCUUCGGGUUGUAAAGCACUUUUGUCCGGAAAGAAAUCCUCUGGGUUAAUACCUCGGGGGGAUGACGGUACCGGAAGAAUAAGCACCGGCUAACUACGUGCCAGCAGCCGCGGUAAUACGUAGGGUGCAAGCGUUAAUCGGAAUUACUGGGCGUAAAGCGUGCGCAGGCGGUUUUGUAAGACGGAUGUGAAAUCCCCGGGCUUAACCUGGGAACUGCAUUCGUGACUGCAAGGCUAGAGUAUGGCAGAGGGGGGUUAGAAUUCCACGUGUAGCAGUGAAAUGCGUAGAGAUGUGGAGGAAUACCGAUGGCGAAGGCAGCCCCCUGGGCCAAUACUGACGCUCAUGCACGAAAGCGUGGGGAGCAAACAGGAUUAGAUACCCUGGUAGUCCACGCCCUAAAACGAUGUCAACUAGUUGUUGGGGAUUCAUUUCCUUAGUAACGUAGCUAACGCGUGAAGUUGACCGCCUGGGGAGUACGGUCGCAAGAUUAAAA
Molecule: ribosomal RNA, 553 nt
Filed under: uncultured bacterium
Lineage: Bacteria
Description: partial 16S ribosomal RNA
Rfam family: Bacterial small subunit ribosomal RNA
Source: RNAcentral